This 253-nucleotide ribosomal RNA is filed under the name uncultured bacterium. Its description in RNAcentral is "partial 16S ribosomal RNA". It matches the Rfam family "Bacterial small subunit ribosomal RNA", at positions 524 to 776 of the family's 1533-position model. The record is from RNAcentral.
UACAGAGGUCCCAAGCGUUGUUCGGAUUCAUUGGGCGUAAAGGGUGCGUAGGCGGCGCGGUAAGUCGGGUGUGAAAUCUCGGGGCUUAACUCCGAAACUGCAUUCGAUACUGCCGUGCUUGAGGACUGGAGAGGAGACUGGAAUUUACGGUGUAGCGGUGAAAUGCGUAGAUAUGUGGAGGAAUACCGGUGGCGAAGGCGGCCUCCUGGCUUAAUACUGACGCUGAGGUGCGAAAGCGUGGGGAUCAAACAGG